RNAcentral lists this ribosomal RNA (574 nucleotides) under uncultured bacterium. RNAcentral describes it as "bacterial SSU rRNA". It matches the Rfam family "Bacterial small subunit ribosomal RNA", at positions 39 to 636 of the family's 1533-position model. The record is from RNAcentral.
GCGGCGUGCCUUAUACAUGCAGUCAAGAGAACGGGUGUAGUUUGCUAACAUUGUCAGCUAAGUGGCGCACGGGUGAGUAAUACAUAGAUACAUGCCCUUAGAGAGGGAUAACUGUUGGAAACGACAGCUAAUACCUCAUAUGCUAUAUAUCAUAAGAUAUAUAGUGAAAAGGUUAAUUCUGCUAAAGGAUUAUCUAUGACCUAUUAUUAUUGGUGAGGUAAGGCUCACCAAGACAUGACGGGUACUGGUUUGAGAGGAUGAACAGCACACCGAACUGAGACACGGUCCGGACUCCUACGGGAGGCAGCAGUAGGGAAUAUUGCACAAUGGGGGAAACCCUGAUGCAGCAACGCCGCGUGGAGGAUGAAGCAUUUCGGUGUGUAAACUCCUUUUAACAAGGAAGGAAUUGACGGUACUUGUUGAAUAAGCACCGGCUAACUCCGUGCCAGCAGCCGCGGUAAUACGGAGGGUGCAAGCGUUACUCGGAAUUACUGGGCGUAAAGGGUAUGUAGGCGGACUAAUAAGUCUGUUGUGAAAUGCUAAGGCUUAACCUUGGAAUUGCAAUGGAAACUGU